UCCCUGGUAGUCCAGUGGUUUAAGACGCUGCGCUCCCAAUGCAGGGGCCCCAGGUUUGAUCCCUGGUCGGGGAA
Capra hircus (goat) is the source of this 74-nucleotide non-coding RNA. NCBI's taxonomy places the organism in Eukaryota, Metazoa, Chordata, Mammalia, Artiodactyla, Bovidae. The record is from the annotation of a RefSeq genome assembly.